AAUAUCCGUCUGUACCGUGAGCUAGGGUUGGCCACAUCAAAGGCUAGAAGUUUCCAAUUUGAGUGGAAAAAGUAUGAGGCAUCACAUUAGAUAUUGAGGAUUCGAAUGGACACAAAAUAUCUGCCAAAACAUGAGUCAGGAAAACUAAACUGAUUCAACAACACUUGUCUGUAGCGUGAGCUAAGGUUGGCCACAUAAAAGGCUAGGAGUUUCCAAUUUGAUUGGAAAAACUAUGAGAGUUCACAUUAGAGAUUGAGGAUUCGAAUGGACACAAAGUAUCUGCUAAAACAUGAGUCAAGAAAACUAAACUGAUUCAACAAUACCCG
Molecule: long non-coding RNA, 326 nt
Filed under: Prunus persica (peach)
Lineage: Eukaryota; Viridiplantae; Streptophyta; Magnoliopsida; Rosales; Rosaceae
Description: long non-coding RNA (PPER_LNC008667)
Source: RNAcentral